GCAGUGGUAGUUUAAUGGUAGAAUUUUUGCCUUCUGUGCAAGAGACCUGGGUUCAAUUCCUAAUCUAUGCA
RNAcentral lists this transfer RNA (71 nucleotides) under Loxodonta africana (African savanna elephant). It matches the Rfam family "tRNA". From Rfam's summary of the family: Transfer RNA (tRNA) molecules are approximately 80 nucleotides in length. Their secondary structure includes four short double-helical elements and three loops (D, anti-codon, and T loops). Further hydrogen bonds mediate the characteristic L-shaped molecular structure. tRNAs have two regions of fundamental functional importance: the anti-codon, which is responsible for specific mRNA codon recognition, and the 3' end, to which the tRNAs corresponding amino acid is attached (by aminoacyl-tRNA synthetases). tRNAs cope with the degeneracy of the genetic code in two manners: having more than one tRNA (with a specific anti-codon) for a particular amino acid; and 'wobble' base-pairing, i.e. permitting non-standard base-pairing at the 3rd anti-codon position. The record is from Rfam by way of RNAcentral. Lineage: Eukaryota; Metazoa; Chordata; Mammalia; Proboscidea; Elephantidae.